RNAcentral lists this long non-coding RNA (501 nucleotides) under Ananas comosus (pineapple). Its description in RNAcentral is "long non-coding RNA (ACOM_LNC015196)". The record is from RNAcentral. Lineage: Eukaryota; Viridiplantae; Streptophyta; Magnoliopsida; Poales; Bromeliaceae.
AAAAGCACAAAGCCCAACUCCGGAGUUGCACUCGUGGGCUCUACUCAACCGAGUAUGCAAACAUGUCUCUGCUGAGCUCAAUCAGGCUCUCACAGACUAUAAUUAAAUCAAAUGGGUCUAACAACCAAAGCUCACGUACCCUUGGCAUAAUCUGAUGCAAAUACAGAAAUCUGGGUCCACCAUCAACCCUGACGGCACCUGACAGUUCGAAACAGUCUAUACACUACUGUAAAAAUAAACUCGGCAUCCCAGCACGAGUGUAAACCCAUUCUACACUAAUCUGGAUAUCUACUACAAACUGCGACAAUACAAACAAACCACAGCUCCUAAAGCAAAAUCUGGUAGUUUUCAGAAAAUAGCAGCGUAGGAUCUACAGUUUUCUCCUAAGUCAAUUCCAAGUCCAACAUGUAAAAUUAUACUACUACUACUUAACUCCAAAUUCAGAUUUUAAGCUUAAUCCAUAAAUUUGAUUACUAGCAAUAACAUAAACACAUGCUACAU